RNAcentral lists this long non-coding RNA (419 nucleotides) under Physcomitrium patens. RNAcentral's name for it is "long non-coding RNA (PPAT_LNC007889)". The record is from RNAcentral. Lineage: Eukaryota; Viridiplantae; Streptophyta; Bryopsida; Funariales; Funariaceae.
UAACAACAAAAGAAAAGAGGUAGCACCAAGCUUAUCCCGGCUCACACUAUCACAAUAAUGGCCGUUUCUUCCUCUCUCUCAUCCUCCUUAUCCUACCACAAGAUACCAACUGCUACAUCUCUAAUGAAAACUACUUUUUCUAACUAUUCAUCCAUUUUAACUACUGAACUACCUUUCUAACAGUCAUCUAUCCCUGUUUAUACUAUAAACUAAGUAUCUACAAAUCAGCAAUUAACUACUUAUUCUACAUAGCCCCACUCCUAACUGUGCAGCGUCCUCGCAAACAACCAGUUCGAAAUAAGAACUGAUGACUCUUUAGCAUUGCCCAUACUCAUAGCUACUGAUUACAAUUCUAAAGUCACUUCUUCGUCUUCCCCGUCUGAUACAUUUAUUAGUACUAUGUUCAAUUUGGCCGUUAA